Molecule: ribosomal RNA, 253 nt
Filed under: uncultured bacterium
Lineage: Bacteria
Description: partial 16S ribosomal RNA
Rfam family: Bacterial small subunit ribosomal RNA
Source: RNAcentral
UACGGAGGAUGCAAGCGUUAUCCGGAAUUAUUGGGCGUAAAGCGUCCGCAGGUGGCACUUCAAGUCUGUCGUCAAAGACCGGGGCUUAACCCUGGAAAGGCCGUGGAAACUGAAGAGCUAGAGUGCAGUAGGGGUAGAGGGAAUUCCCGGUGUAGCGGUGAAAUGCGUAGAGCUCGGGAAGAACAUCGGUGGCGAAAGCGCUCUGCUGGACUGCAACUGACACUCAGGGACGAAAGCUAGGGGAGCGAAUGGG